Long non-coding RNA from Polistes canadensis, 1682 nucleotides. RefSeq lists it as uncharacterized. NCBI's taxonomy places the organism in Eukaryota, Metazoa, Arthropoda, Insecta, Hymenoptera, Vespidae. The record is from RefSeq and is a predicted model, not a curated record. The transcript has 3 exons.
ACAUAUAGUAGAUAUAUUGAUAGAUACAUUCAUUAAUAUUUUCCCAAGCUAUUUAUUAUUAUUUAUUAAUUUUAAUAGUCUUCUAUAAUAAAAUAUUCUUUAUGGACGUUGUGUGUGUGUUUAUUUGAACAAUUGCACAGGAAUUAAAAGAAUACCAAAAUAUAAUCAUAAUUUUAAUUUAUUUCAAAUAUUAUAUGCGCGUACAUAUACUCCGUUCUUUUAGGCAACAAUAUAAACACUUAUAUCGAUUAAUUAACAAUUAUUUUUUUUAAUGCACUAAUGCAUUCUACGUAUAUUACAAGAAAAUUGUAACCCUCGAAGUCAUCACUUCGCAGAAACGGUGGCUUAUUCUUUUUAUACACAUGCGCAUCGUUCGGAAAAUCAUAUAAACAAUAUUGAAUAAAAGAAUUUACUUAAAGGACAAAGGUCCAGUUUGAAGGGGAAUUUCGAAGAGGACGCUUGUUUUAACACAUAUACACAUAUAUACUGAUUUAAACAUUGCAUACUACUUAACAUAUUUUGAAUAUUAAAUAAUUUUGAUGUGAUAUUCUUUUGGAUGAAUAUUCCCCCCCACCCCUCGAAGUCAUCACUGCAGAGGAAUGUUAAAAUAAAUAUACAUCAGUUUAAUUCCAUGUACAUUAGUUUAAUUACACGUAGAAAAAAGUGGUUAUUUUAAUUUAAUAUAAGUGUCAUUAAAAACCGUUCACUCUAAUUGUAAGUAUAAAAAAUCUUAACGCGAACUAUUAAAAAAAAAUGACAAUAAUCUGGACCUGGAUUGGAAAGUAAUGUUUUAAAAUCAGAAAAAAGGAUCAGAAUACGACAUUACGUUAGAAGUAAAACUUUUUGAAUUUUUCUCGGCUUCAGUUGCUCCAUCAGUGAAUUGUAAAGUAUUAAGAAAAGAGAAAGAUUAUAGCUGAAACAAAAAAAUUAUUUUAUGCAUAAUUGAUUUAUUUUAAAAUAAAAAUUGUAAUGUCUCGGAUCCCUUAAUGUUUAAAUCUAUUAAUGAGCCAUUUUUAUAUACAUACACAUAUAUAUUUAUCAUAUUCAGUAUAAUUAUUAUUAAUUAAAUAUAAUAUUGUUUUUAAAACAAAUUGAUUUAUUUUUAAGAAUAGGAAUAUCUUUUUAAUAUAGAUUUUAAAUUAUUAUACGAAGUUAUAUUAAUAACAAUUGAGGAAAUGUUGAUUAACAUGCUUAAAUUGAAGAAUGACAUACUUUUAAUUUGGCCCUAAAUAUAAAAAUAUAAGAACCUAAAUACAUAGAUACCUAUAAAAGAACAUUGGUUUUGAUCACAGACAAGAUAUAAUUUAAUAGUAUGCUCUACAAUAUUUCUUGAUUUCGAUUUUUUAAAUACAAACUUUACACUCGCUAUGUUAUUUGUCAUAUGUUAUAUACAUACAUGACAUGUAAAGUGUGACACUGAAUACAGUAAUAAAAAACAUCUAUGAUAAAUGUCAUAUUUUACAUAGUAGGCAUAAUAUACUCAUGAUAUCAUAUUUAUUGAUUACAAACAAGACAGAGAAGAGAUAUUAUUUUUAAGAUAUAGUAAAUAAGUAAGAGUUUGUCGAUAAAAUGUCUAUGUUAAACAUCACAUAUGUUUUCCAAUCAAAUUUGAUACAUUCACUACAAUUAUUAUGAUCAUAAUAUAGUGUGUCUAAUGCUAUAUGUAAAUAAAAGUUUCUAUA